RNAcentral lists this ribosomal RNA (302 nucleotides) under uncultured bacterium. RNAcentral's name for it is "partial 16S ribosomal RNA". It matches the Rfam family "Bacterial small subunit ribosomal RNA", at positions 508 to 807 of the family's 1533-position model. The record is from RNAcentral.
GCAGUAGCCACGGUAAUACGAAGGGUGCAAGCGUUACUCGGAAUUACUGGGCGUAAAGCGUGCGUAGGUGGUGGUUUAAGUCCGUUGUGAAAGCCCUGGGCUCAACCUGGGAAUUGCAGUGGAUACUGGGUCACUAGAGUGUGGUAGAGGAUAGUGGAAUUUCCGGUGUAGCAGUGAAAUGCGUAGAGAUCGGAAGGAACAUCUGUGGCGAAGGCGACUAUCUGGGCCAACACUGACACUGAGGCGCGAAAGCGUGGGGAGCAAACAGGAUUAGAUACCCCCGUAGUCCCUGUCUCUUAUAC